AACGAACGCUGGCGGCAGGCUUAACACAUGCAAGUCGAACGGGUGCAGCAAUGCAUCAGUGGCAGACGGGUGAGUAACACGUGGGAACCUUCCUAGGGGUACGGAACAACUCAGGGAAACUUGAGCUAAUACCGUAUACGUCCGUGAGGAGAAAGAUUUAUCGCCCUUAGACGGGCCCGCGUCGGAUUAGCUAGUUGGUGGGGUAACGGCCUACCAAGGCGACGAUCCGUAGCUGAUCUUAGAGGAUGAUCAGCCACACUGGGACUGAGACGCGGCCCAGACUCCUACGGGAGGCAGCAGUGGGGAAUCUUGGACAAUGGGCGCAAGCCUGAUCCAGCCAUGCCGCGUGAGUGAAGAAGGUCUUCGGAUUGUAAAGCGUCUUUUGCCUAGGGACGAUAAUGACGGUACCUGG
Molecule: ribosomal RNA, 412 nt
Filed under: uncultured bacterium
Lineage: Bacteria
Description: bacterial SSU rRNA
Rfam family: Bacterial small subunit ribosomal RNA
Source: RNAcentral